Molecule: RNA transcript, 1080 nt
Organism: Camellia sinensis
Lineage: Eukaryota; Viridiplantae; Streptophyta; Magnoliopsida; Ericales; Theaceae
Source: RefSeq, a predicted model, not a curated record
GCCACAAAACUAUUGCAGAUUGAAGCCUUCUCUCUCUCUCAUCCCUUAGAGCAAACGAAGUGGUUGCUGCGAAACCCUAGCCGCAUACAGAGAAUAAAGUAGAGUAGGAGAACAAAAGCAAUUGCUGCGAAAACCCCAAGCUUUUUCAGAGACAAAAGCGUGGAAAUAGAAUCUCCCAUAAUAAACAGAGACUAGAUCACAAAUGGGUUGAGACUCGAAAGGGCUGAGAGACAUGCCCCCGCAGUCUUCAGGUUGUUUACUUGGAAGUUUUGAUGGCAUGAGUGGAGUUGGAAAAAAAUAAAAUAAGAACAAAUGCAAUAAGGGUUAUGCAUUCAUCAAUCUGACUGAACCUGUCUCUGUUAUCCCCUUCUAUCAGGUUUUUAAUAGAAUGCAAUGGGUAGAGUUUAACUGUAGAAGAAAUGCAGCAAUUUCUUAUGUUAAGAUGUAGGGAAAAGCUGCACUCGAAGCCCACCAGCAUGGUCAAACUUGAAGACUGGGGAUAAGCAUGUGAUCAGAGUCUGUUGAACACAUUUUCAGCUUAGGCGUCAUCUUAUUGCAAUGAGUGACAAAAAAACUGUACCUUCACAGAAAUGGAAAACACUUGGAAAACAUAAUCAAUGAAGAGCCUAAGUUGAAAAAGAUGAUCGGGUUGAUCGAUGAAAGUUUGCUAAGCUCGGGAUGUUAAAAGAAGAAAGGACGUCCAUUGUUCUCAAGCACCAUUGGAGAGAACAAAAUUCUGUCUUAAAGACACAAUGUUUAAACACUGGCCUCAAUCACAAACUCAGAAGUACUGUAAGCUUUAAUUAUGUUGUUUCCUUUAUUUAUUUUAUUUGCUUUAAUUAAUUAUUGCCGAAAUUAUCUCCAACAAUUUUAAGACAGAAUUUCUAUACUGUUUUCUGUAUUACAGUAUUGAUUUUUCAGUUAAAAUUAAUUUUUAGCAAAUUUCUAUUCUUAUAUACGACGUAUUAGAAGUUUGGGUUUUUAUUGUUUGGUUUAUUUAUUACACAUUUGUUUACUAAUAUUUACUCGAAUAUGUAUUUGAGUAUAACUCUUUUUCGGUUCAAUUUUGGUUUUAAGUUU